This 230-nucleotide ribosomal RNA is filed under the name uncultured bacterium. RNAcentral's name for it is "partial 16S ribosomal RNA". It matches the Rfam family "Bacterial small subunit ribosomal RNA", at positions 562 to 791 of the family's 1533-position model. The record is from RNAcentral.
AAAGCGUGCGCAGGCGGUUGUGCAAGACAGAUGUGAAAUCCCCGGGCUCAACCUGGGAAUUGCAUUUGUGACUGCACGGCUAGAGUGUGUCAGAGGGGGGUAGAAUUCCACGUGUAGCAGUGAAAUGCGUAGAUAUGUGGAGGAAUACCGAUGGCGAAGGCAGCCCCCUGGGAUAACACUGACGCUCAUGCACGAAAGCGUGGGGAGCAAACAGGAUUAGAUACCCGGGU